GUCAGGAUGGCCGAGCGGUCCAAGGCGCUGCGUUCAGGUCGCAGUCCGGUUCUCCGGCGUGGGUUCGAAUCCCACUUCUGACA
RNAcentral lists this transfer RNA (83 nucleotides) under Pollicipes pollicipes. RNAcentral describes it as "tRNA-Leu". It matches the Rfam family "tRNA". Rfam says of the family: Transfer RNA (tRNA) molecules are approximately 80 nucleotides in length. Their secondary structure includes four short double-helical elements and three loops (D, anti-codon, and T loops). Further hydrogen bonds mediate the characteristic L-shaped molecular structure. tRNAs have two regions of fundamental functional importance: the anti-codon, which is responsible for specific mRNA codon recognition, and the 3' end, to which the tRNAs corresponding amino acid is attached (by aminoacyl-tRNA synthetases). tRNAs cope with the degeneracy of the genetic code in two manners: having more than one tRNA (with a specific anti-codon) for a particular amino acid; and 'wobble' base-pairing, i.e. permitting non-standard base-pairing at the 3rd anti-codon position. Lineage: Eukaryota; Metazoa; Arthropoda; Thecostraca; Pollicipedomorpha; Pollicipedidae. The record is from RNAcentral.